GGUCAAGUUAUUAAGGGUGCAGGGCGGAUGCCUUGGCACUAGGAGCCGAUGAAGGACGUGAUAAGCUGCGAUAAGCUUCGGGGAGUUGCACGUAAACUUUGAUCCGAAGAUUUCCGAAUGAGGAAACUCACUUAGAGUAAUGUCUAAGUAUCAUUAAGUGAAUACAUAGCUUAAUGAGGGGAACUCAGGGAACUGAAACAUCUAAGUACCUGAAGGAAGAGAAAGAAAUUCGAUUCCGUAAGUAGCGGCGAGCGAACGCGGAUUAGCCCAAACCAAUAAAGUUUUCUUUAUUGGGGUUGCGGACAUAUCAUAACGAAGAGGUAUCGUAAUUGAAGAGGUUUGGAAAGA
This 348-nucleotide ribosomal RNA is filed under the name Clostridioides difficile. RNAcentral's name for it is "partial 23S ribosomal RNA". It matches the Rfam family "Bacterial large subunit ribosomal RNA", at positions 1 to 350 of the family's 2925-position model. Lineage: Bacteria; Bacillati; Bacillota; Clostridia; Peptostreptococcales; Peptostreptococcaceae. The record is from RNAcentral.